CACGUAGGGUGCAAGCGUUAAUCGGAAUUACUGGGCGUAAAGCGUGCGCAGGCGGUUUUGUAAGUCUGUCGUGAAAUCCCCGGGCUCAACCUGGGAAUUGCGAUGGAGACUGCAAGGCUAGAAUCUGGCAGAGGGGGGUAGAAUUCCACGUGUAGCAGUGAAAUGCGUAGAGAUGUGGAGGAACACCGAUGGCGAAGGCAGCCCCCUGGGUCAAGAUUGACGCUCAUGCACGAAAGCGUGGGGAGCAAACAGG
Molecule: ribosomal RNA, 253 nt
Filed under: uncultured bacterium
Lineage: Bacteria
Description: partial 16S ribosomal RNA
Rfam family: Bacterial small subunit ribosomal RNA
Source: RNAcentral